This is a long non-coding RNA of Cercocebus atys (sooty mangabey), 440 nucleotides long. RefSeq lists it as uncharacterized. The transcript is spliced from 3 exons. Lineage: Eukaryota; Metazoa; Chordata; Mammalia; Primates; Cercopithecidae. The record is from RefSeq and is a predicted model, not a curated record.
CUCAGUGGAUAAUGGAGAGGCAAUGGAGAGAUGAGAAAACCGGCUGCAGAGAGGAACAACCCUCUCUGCUGACAGCUGAACACUCAUGGGCACACCCUGGCUUCAGAGAGGAGUUGCCCACUAUGACAGACCUGGAGGAGACUUCGUGAUUUUAUUCAUGGACCAAGAUUUCCUCAGGACUGUUAACAUUUUCCAUCGCUGUCUUCUGCCGUUGGCAACAGCUGGCGCCAGGGAAAGAUGGUCUCCCAGUAGAGAGAAAACGCUGAAGCCGAUGAUCAGCAUGUUCCGGUAAGAUCUCAGGAGUUGGGGGAGUUGGCUCAAGCAUGCACACUAAGAGCUAAAACAGUGGAGAUUCAGCAGUGUAUGACCUUCCUCUAGGAAUGCACACAACUUCAGUAAACACACUGCACAGGUGGCCCGUCUCAAGGGCUAGCAGGCCA